CAAAUUAACAGAAUGACCCCCAGCCAUAAGACAUAUACAUGUUAAUAUUAAAGAAAAGACAAAUUUUGCUAUUUAACGAACUGUUAAAGAACCUAAUACCCACACUACACCUACGCUUAGUCGAAGAAGAUUAGUCAAGCAUAAUAUUAGCAACCGGGUCUUAAUCAUGGGGCGCGAAAGGAAUUUUAAAUAAACAACUGUAAAAGCACUAAAACUUUCACGAAAACCUUUCAAACUUCCUUGAAUUACCAGAAACACGGUCAUUGUAGACAAUAUACAAUACUCGAGAACGGGACGAACAAAAUAAAAGAUUAUUUUUUGAAUAAGUGAUAACGUAGCUCAAUUCCAUGUAACCUUUGGGUACAUUUUAAAAUAUUUUUUGGCUAAUAUUAAAAGUAAUGAAAUGUUGAAAACGGAAAAUCGGGUGUUUUACAGUUAAUAAUAUCGUAUAAAUUUGGAAAUUAUUCGUGCAAAUACAUGCUAAUGACUGGCUAAAUAUUGGUUUACGAGUAUUUACAAAACGUAUAGAUCGGGCCGGUAACAAAUUGAAAACGGAAAUGGGCAGCUGGUGCAUUGUGCAAUAUUGAAGAUACUUCUAUCGCCGUAUAUUCUGUGGUAUAAUGUCUGGGAACGAUCGUAGUAAAUUUCAUGCGGGACGAAGGCUUAAACGGUGACAAGUACUUAGUGCAACAUAAGGCUGAUGCUCGGUUUCAAAAACAGGAUAGACUGAGCUUACCAGACCUGAUCAUUCUACUGCAAUGGUGCAACAAGUAUACUCAACCAGGCCAUGGAUUUAGAUCUACAGUUUAUUGUUGUUCAUAGGUACGUUAAUGCCUGCCUAAUGUAAUCGAUUAUAUUAUAGACCAGGUGAUAUACCAGGUCUUAAAUUAUAUGGUGUUAUGUACGUCACAAUACAUUAAUACAUUAAACAAUAUAUUUAUAUAUUUACAAUA
Molecule: long non-coding RNA, 953 nt
Organism: Aphis gossypii (cotton aphid)
Lineage: Eukaryota; Metazoa; Arthropoda; Insecta; Hemiptera; Aphididae
Exons: 3
Source: RefSeq, a predicted model, not a curated record